CAGCACCACAGUAUCCUCACCACAUACAAGGAACCCUAUGAAACUCCACUGAAACCGAGGCUCAUGUAUACCCAGAACCAUGCUGACGGACCAUCUCAAAACAGCUGAACUUUACCCGAGCUAGACAGACUACUGUCAAACUAUUAAUCCAGGACAAAUUGAAUUGUGGACUAUUAUAAAAUGCCGCACAACACGGUGAAUAUCUUUUGGAUCUGCGGUAUGCUUUGAUCCACAGGUUUAAACAUACAGACAGGAACCCUGGAGACGGACUGGUGGCUUUUGGUCGCCUGCAAAAUAAUGGGACAACUAAACUGAGCAGACAAGCAGCAGGAAAUCCCUCCAGUGAAGGGGCCAGAGGUGACGGGAAGACGACCGGACAAGGUUUCAGUGUAAAGAGGGUCACGGGGAACCAGGAGCCUAUCCCAGGGAGCAUCGGGCACGGGUACACCCUGGACAGGGUGCCGAUCCAUCGCAUUCACAUACACAUUCAUACACUACGGACACUUUGGAAACACCAAUCAAACACCUACCGUGCAUGUCUUUGGACUGGGGGAGGAAACUGGAGUACCCGGAGGAAACCCCCGCAGCACGGGGAGAACAUGCAAACUCCACACGCACAGGGCCACGGCGGGACUCGAACCCCAGACCCUGGAGGUGUGUGAGAACGUGCUAACCACUAAGCCACCGUACGCCCCAGGAGUAUCAUGUGUAGCUCAACAGAGAGAGAGAGAGAGAUUAUUAUGUGCGCUAAUUAUCACAUAAUGGUUAAGGACAAUGUUCUUUGCAUGCAGAGUGCAAGCAGCCACUUCGGCAAGACUAGCUAUGACAACAUGACUAAAAGGGAUAUCCAGAAAGUAGUACAGACACAAGGGUGUCCUGGAACAUAAAGCAGCCAGCUACUCCACUGUCAACAAACCCAUUCCUUCUAAACCCACAUACGCCUUUAUAAUACUAAAGUCCCAGAUUUAUAACCCAGUUAGACCACAGGAUUCUGCUCCAGGUCCUGGAGAACCCCCUGUCCUACACAUUCUAGUUUUUCUAACCCUAGCCCUGCUCUAACACACUUCAUUCAACCCAUCAGCUAAUAAACAACACUUCCACAGUUCAGAAGCAGGUGUGUUAGAGCAAGCGAAAACACUCAAAUGUGCAGGACCAGAGUUGAGAACCUGAGUCAUAUACAGACAAUGAACCUUUGUGUUCUUUAAACUCUCACAGCCUUUCCACAUGACCCAUCCUAAAGUAUACAUUGGGUUGUGAUUGUGUGUGAUUACUGAUUCUACAGCAUGCAAACUCUCAAAUGACCUUGAAGCCAUGAAGCCUGAAUAAUGUCAUGAAUUCAGGAUGAUUUGCGAAGUAAUUUCCUUAAGGAAAAUAGCCUACCUUAAAAAGAAUGAAGAAAUCGAAAUGUAUUUUUAUAUGUAAUGUAUUAUUUUGUGUAACCUAAAAUCAAAAUGUAAAAAAAAUAAUAAAGAAAUACAGGAAUUAAACACCCAUCUGGUAUUAAUAGUGUUCAAUAAUGUUAAAGAUCUUAAUAAAUAGAAUUAUUUUGACAAAAAAGCAACAGCACCAAUACUACUACUAGUAAUAGUAAUAAAAUAAAAAUAAGGAUUAGAAGAUAAUAAUAAUUAAAAUACUCAUUAAACAUGUAUUUUAUUAUUAGUAUAAUAUAAAAUGCAAGUAAUUAAAAUGUACAAAAAAUUACAUGGAUGUGGGAUUAAUAGCAAUGGCAAUUAAGAAUAUUAAUUUUGGUAAUAAAUACAAUUAAUUUGAACAAUUAUUAAAAAAUACAUCAGCACAAAUAAUAAUAAUAAUAAGAAGAAGAAGAAGAAGAAGAAGAAGGAGAAGAAGAAGAAGACAAUAAUUGAAUAUUUGUUUUAUAUUACAUUAUAUAAAACGUCAAUUAAUUUUAGAUAUUUUUAAUGAUUUCAAAGUCAUCUUUGCAUAUUAACAUGCAAAUAAAAAAAUAUAAGUACUCAAUACCAUUUGCACAAAUUAACUAAGAAAUUAUACAGCUGUGGUGUUUUUUCCCCUCUCAUAGCCACUAUACUCCUUAGAGGAGGAUAAGGUCUAAAGGAAAGGCUUUUAGAAAUCCCAAAAGAGUUCACAGUCUAUUCUAUGCAGUUAAGACGUGGGAGGAAACCCAGGCCCUCCCUCAGAAACAUUCCAUUUCCUGCCAUUACACGGUUUCCCCUUUCCCCUGAUCAUAAACAACUCUUGGUGUGUAUACUUUUCUUCUAGUUGUAAGAAGAUCUGGACAAGAAAAUAAAAAUAUGUAUUGUAGAAACAGGGAAUCCUCUGCACAGAGCCUAUUUCCUCCUCCCUCGGGUGCAGACAUGGUUGGCUCAUGGGCUUGUGUGGAAGUGCUCGCUCUCCCAGAACAACAGUCUAAAGAGUAUGAGAUGAAGCACAUCAGGAGAUCAGGAGGCCUCAAUCACAGCUCAAUAACAGUUAUUCCUCAGCGGCGGACCAAACGCAACAGUAGGCCGAGGAGCAGAUAUGAAGCUGGCAGUUGAAACUUGUCGGGUCAAUUUGGCUUAUCAGCACGGAAGAUCGGGCCGUGACUCACCAGGCUGUACGGUCAAGCGAGCCUGUCAGUUGUUUAUUAGUCUGAUGAUUUAAAAGGGUCUUUUUCAUAAGAGAUUGAAUACUCUUAGUCCUUUUAGGGAAAAGAAACAGUCAUGAACAUCAAAGGAUUACAGCGAAGAGACAAAGCAUGCUUGUAGUUAUAGUUACACUCUCAGAUUGCAGGUCUUUGUGUGAGUAGAAGAGCAGAACAGUAGAUAUGGGAUCAAUUAUGAACCAUGUUCACUAAACCAUCACAUACACUACAUGAAACUUAAUGUGAGGUUAUAGACUCUCAUGUUCUCUUCUGUGUGUACAGCUUACUUGGUAGUAACACCUAAAACUGUUCAUGUUUAUAAAAGGAAAGGGAAGAUUAUAUGUGCUGCACUAAGCCUUACAGGUAUACAUUAAAUAUAAUGCAUUUUCCCCCUAUUCUUUCUUGUUGAAUUUUUCUGAAGAACAGUGGGCAGUUUAACCGCUCAGGACAAACAAGUCGGUGAUCAUCCAGGUAACGUCACACGACACACAGUAUUAAUAAUCACGCGUAUUAUGUUAUCAUUGUGUCUUGUGGACUAUAUGUAAAUAUAUAUUUUUUUUAAAUUAAAAAAGAAGCAGUUUUUAUGAUCCCGCUUUUUUUUUAAUGGUUAACAUUUCGCGGAUUCUGCAAGGCAUAUGUAAACUUAUGACCUCGACUGUAUACACAUUUAUACACAGCGACCUACUGUGACGUUUUUUGGGAGGUGGGAGGAAACCAGGAAACCUAGAGGAAUCUCUCAUAUUACACAGAUAGUAACCUGAGUUCAGGAUCGAACCCUGGAUCUGUGAAGCGGCAAUACUUUAAGUCUUUAAUGUUCUACAUCAUUAAACAGGUAUUUACAAUGUCCCACCAACCUCCCUGUGAUGUUCAUGACAUAAGCACAGAAUGUUUGAG
Molecule: long non-coding RNA, 3493 nt
Organism: Ictalurus punctatus (channel catfish)
Lineage: Eukaryota; Metazoa; Chordata; Actinopteri; Siluriformes; Ictaluridae
Exons: 4
Source: RefSeq, a predicted model, not a curated record